Molecule: ribosomal RNA, 439 nt
Filed under: uncultured bacterium
Lineage: Bacteria
Description: partial 16S ribosomal RNA
Rfam family: Bacterial small subunit ribosomal RNA
Source: RNAcentral
CUACGGGUGGCAGCAGUGGGGAAUCUUAGACAAUGGGGGCAACCCUGAUCUAGCCAUGCCGCGUGAGUGAUGAAGGCCUUAGGGUUGUAAAGCUCUUUCAGCUGGGAAGAUAAUGACGGUACCAGCAGAAGAAGCCCCGGCUAACUCCGUGCCAGCAGCCGCGGUAAUACGGAGGGGGCUAGCGUUGUUCGGAAUUACUGGGCGUAAAGCGCACGUAGGCGGACUGGAAAGUCAGAGGUGAAAUCCCAGGGCUCAACCUUGGAACUGCCUUUGAAACUAUCAGUCUGGAGUACGAGAGAGGUGAGUGGAAUUCCGAGUGUAGAGGUGAAAUUCGUAGAUAUUCGGAGGAACACCAGUGGCGAAGGCGGCUCACUGGCUCGAUACUGACGCUGAGGUGCGAAAGCGUGGGGAGCAAACAGGAUUAGAUACCCGUGUAGUC